RNAcentral lists this ribosomal RNA (450 nucleotides) under uncultured bacterium. RNAcentral's name for it is "partial 16S ribosomal RNA". It matches the Rfam family "Bacterial small subunit ribosomal RNA", at positions 354 to 796 of the family's 1533-position model. The record is from RNAcentral.
GUGGGGAAUAUUGGACAAUGGGCGAAAGCCUGAUCCAGCCAUGCCGCGUGUGUGAAGAAGGUCUUCGGAUUGUAAAGCACUUUAAGUUGGGAGGAAGGGCAGUAAGUUAAUACCUUGCUGUUUUGACGUUACCGACAGAAUAAGCACCGGCUAACUUCGUACCAGCAGCCGCGGUAAUACGAAGGGUGCAAGCGUUAAUCGGAAUUACUGGGCGUAAAGCGCGCGUAGGUGGUGUUGUAAGUUGGAGGUGAAAUCCCCGGGCUCAACCUGGGAACUGCCUCCAAAACUGCAUGACUAGAGUACGGUAGAGGGUAGUGGAAUUUCCUGUGUAGCGGUGAAAUGCGUAGAUAUAGGAAGGAACACCAGUGGCGAAGGCGACUACCUGGACUGAUACUGACACUGAGGUGCGAAAGCGUGGGGAGCAAACAGGAUUAGAUACCCCUGUAGUCC